Cinara cedri is the source of this 219-nucleotide non-coding RNA. Lineage: Eukaryota; Metazoa; Arthropoda; Insecta; Hemiptera; Aphididae. The record is from the annotation of a GenBank genome assembly.
AGCUUCAUGAGAAGAUAUACAAAACCUUCCACUAAACUUUUGGACGUUCUUAGUUAUCCCUAGUAAGAAACUUGGUGGAAUAAUCAUAAACUAUUUUAACCACCGUCGCGGUCGCGAGGUAGGAAACAGCAGAGACGGUUUUCAAAUCAGCUGCUUCCUUUGUCCAAGACGGCCAUGGUUUCCUCCCGAAAACUUUAUUUGUAAAUUUAUUUUGCCUUU